CCCCUAGAUGUUCUGGGCUGCACGCGCGCUACACUGAUGCGCUCAACGAGUUUAUGACCUUGCCUGGAAAGGUUGGGUAAUCUUCUUAAAACGCAUCGUGAUGGGGAUAGAUUAUUGCAAUUAUUAAUCUUCAACGAGGAAUUCCUAGUAAGCGCGAGUCAUCAGCUCGUGCUGAUUACGUCCCUGCCCUUUGUACACACCGCCCGUCGCUCCUACCGAUUGAAUGGUCCGGUGAAGCGUUCGGACCGUGGCCUUUGGACGGUUCGCCGUCUGUUGGCUGCGGGAAGUUCGUUAAACCUUAUCAUUUAGAGGAAGGAGAAGUCGUAACA
Molecule: ribosomal RNA, 329 nt
Filed under: uncultured eukaryote
Lineage: Eukaryota
Description: partial 18S ribosomal RNA
Rfam family: Eukaryotic small subunit ribosomal RNA
Source: RNAcentral